GCCCACUUCAGCAAGGCAUAUACUAAACUACAACCAAUACAGAAAAUACGUCCUCUGUAUAAGGAUGAUACACAAAUACAUGAAGUGUCCCAUAUCUUU
This is a small nuclear RNA of Tupaia belangeri (northern tree shrew), 99 nucleotides long. The record is from Ensembl. NCBI's taxonomy places the organism in Eukaryota, Metazoa, Chordata, Mammalia, Scandentia, Tupaiidae.